GUAUGGACGGGCUGUUCAGGUGCUUAAAAACCACCUGGAGAAAGGGCCGGGCAAGACCGGUGCCAGCCGCCGCGGUAAUACCGGCGGCUCGAGUGGUGGCCACUAUUACUGGGCUUAAAGCGUCCGUAGCUUGGUCGUUAAGCCUCUGGGGAAAUCUUCCGGCUCAACCGGAAGGCGUCUCAGGGGAACUGGCGACCUAGGGAUCGGGAGAGGUGAGAGGUACUCUGGGGGUAGGAGUGAAAUCCUGUAAUCCUCAGGGGACCACCUGUGGCGAAGGCGUCUCACCAGAACGACUCCGACAGUGAGGGACGAAAGCUGGGGGAGCAAACCGGAUUAGAUACCCGGGUAGUCCCAGCCGUAAACGAUGCGCGUUAGGUGUAUCGGUGACCACGAGUUACCGAGGUGCCGAAGGGAAACCGUGAAACGCGCCGCCUGGGAAGUACGGUCGCAAGGCUGAAACUUAAAGGAAUUGGCGGGGGAGCAC
RNAcentral lists this ribosomal RNA (484 nucleotides) under uncultured archaeon. RNAcentral describes it as "bacterial SSU rRNA". It matches the Rfam family "Archaeal small subunit ribosomal RNA", at positions 396 to 879 of the family's 1478-position model. The record is from RNAcentral.